Molecule: ribosomal RNA, 253 nt
Filed under: uncultured bacterium
Lineage: Bacteria
Description: partial 16S ribosomal RNA
Rfam family: Bacterial small subunit ribosomal RNA
Source: RNAcentral
UACGUAGGGUGCGAGCGUUGUCCGGAAUUAUUGGGCGUAAAGAGCUCGUAGGCGGUUUGUUGCGUCGGCCGUGAAAACUUGGGGCUUAACCCCGAGCCUGCGGUCGAUACGGGCAGACUUGAGUUCGGCAGGGGAGACUGGAAUUCCUGGUGUAACGGUGAAAUGCGCAGAUAUCAGGAGGAACACCGGUGGCGAAGGCGGGUCUCUGGGCCGAUACUGACGCUGAGGAGCGAAAGCGUGGGGAGCGAACAGG